GCCGACGUAGCUCAGCUGGUAGAGCACUUCAUUCGUAAUGAAGGGGUCAUCGGUUCGAUCCCGAUCGUCGGCU
Molecule: transfer RNA, 73 nt
Filed under: Candidatus Aceula meridiana
Lineage: Bacteria; Pseudomonadati; Candidatus Omnitrophota
Description: tRNA-Thr
Rfam family: tRNA
About the family: Transfer RNA (tRNA) molecules are approximately 80 nucleotides in length. Their secondary structure includes four short double-helical elements and three loops (D, anti-codon, and T loops).
Source: RNAcentral